ACACGGGCCGCGGCUGUUCGUGUCGGCUACAGCCCAGACACAGCCGCGCUGACUCUGCUGUCCAAAAGUAGUAGGGACGGUUCUCCAUCCCCAACCUCUCUACUCUGUUUUUCUUCGUGCUGUAGCCGCCGCCGUGGACACCGCGCGGCCGACCGCAGGUAGAGCACGCCUUCGCCGUGCGCAGUCGCCAGCGAGCCAGCCACACCGCGCCGCCGACGCGCAGGUAGAGCAGGCCGUCGCCUUCGCCGUCGCCGUGCGCCGCCGUGCGCCGUCGCCAGUGAGCCGGCCACUCCGCGCCGCCGACCGCAGGUCGAGCACGCCUUCGCCGUGUGCCAUCGCCAGCGAGCCGGCCACACCGCGCCGCCGACGCGCAGGUAGAGCAGGCCUUCGCCGUCGCCGUGCGCCGCCGUGCGCCGUCGCCAGUGAGCCGGCCACUCCGCUCCGCCGACGCGCAGGUACAGUACGCCGUCGCCGUGCCCCUUGGCCGUGCGUCGUCGCUGUCGCCAGCGAUUCGGUCACACCGUCGCUACUGCUGCGAUUGAUGGAGAAGACUGGCUCAGUCCAAGGUUCAGAGAGAUGCUUGUCGGUGAUCACCUAGGCUACAAUGUAGAAAACUGCAGGAUGUUGAUCAUGUCUCUACCGAAAAAAUGGCCGCUGCUGCUCGUAUGUUUGGGAUUUUCUGAACAAGGUUUUAACUGUUAUUGACCCUAACCUCCAGCAGACCGAAGUAGGAAAACUUCAGUGGGAACAUGAUGACACCAUGGACUGCCUCCAUGAAGCUCUCUUUGAUUGCAAAGAUGAAUGGAUCCAGGGCUGGGAAGUGGAUCGUCACAACUGGCGCUACAACCAUCCAAUUGGGUUAGGCCGACGCUGCCGUGACUAUAAUUCUGGAGUGUACGCAAUGCAUUAUGCUCUUAUGUGACCGAUUUGUCGGUUGAGGUGAGAGCGUCUGCUUUACUGUUUGCUGAAAAUUUUGUUCAAGCUACAUGAUAUGCAAGGUUUAACGUAUGCUAUAUUUUUUCUGGCUUUGGAUGACCAUGUGCUUGUGCGAGCGGACCAGUUUUACAAGCUCAUGGGGAUGCCAGGGAACACUGGUGAUCUCCCUACUUUCCUUCACCAUGUUGCAGCAUGAGUUAGAGACUACCUGGUGUGCUUAUUAUCUUUGGGCUCCGGAAGCUGAUUUGCUCCAAUUUGGCUUGUAAUCAAACAGCUAGUUUCCUAAGAUUAUUGUGAGCUGGACCAUCCUUAGUACGGUUCUUUUGAAUGUAUUACCAGACUGCCGGUGUAACUUAGAAGACUAUCAUUAUUUUGUUAUGUAUUUGCUUGCAAAAAUGUUGUGAGAUGGGGGGUUUUC
Lolium perenne is the source of this 1354-nucleotide non-coding RNA. NCBI's taxonomy places the organism in Eukaryota, Viridiplantae, Streptophyta, Magnoliopsida, Poales, Poaceae. The record is from RefSeq and is a predicted model, not a curated record.